UAAUACGAAGGGUGCAAGCGUUACUCGGAAUUACUGGGCGUAAAGCGUGCGUAGGUGGUUCGUUAAGUCUGAUGUGAAAGCCCUGGGCUCAACCUGGGAAUUGCAUUGGAAACUGGCGGGCUAGAGUACGGUAGAGGGUAGUGGAAUUCCUGGUGUAGCAGUGAAAUGCGUAGAGAUCAGGAGGAACACCCGUGGCGAAGGCGACUACCUGGACCAGUACUGACACUGAGGCACGAAAGCGUGGGGAGCAAACAGG
RNAcentral lists this ribosomal RNA (256 nucleotides) under uncultured bacterium. RNAcentral describes it as "partial 16S ribosomal RNA". It matches the Rfam family "Bacterial small subunit ribosomal RNA", at positions 521 to 776 of the family's 1533-position model. The record is from RNAcentral.